RNAcentral lists this ribosomal RNA (434 nucleotides) under uncultured soil bacterium. Its description in RNAcentral is "bacterial SSU rRNA". It matches the Rfam family "Bacterial small subunit ribosomal RNA", at positions 8 to 487 of the family's 1533-position model. The record is from RNAcentral.
AGAGUUUGAUCCUGGCUCAGAGCGAACGCUGGCGGCAGGCUUAACACAUGCAAGUCGAGCGGGCGUAGCAAUACGUCAGCGGCAGACGGGUGAGUAACGCGUGGGAACGUACCUUUUGGUUCGGAACAACACAGGGAAACUUGUGCUAAUACCGGAUAAGCCCUUACGGGGAAAGAUUUAUCGCCGAAAGAUCGGCCCGCGUCUGAUUAGCUAGUUGGUGAGGUAAUGGCUCACCAAGGCGACGAUCAGUAGCUGGUCUGAGAGGAUGAUCAGCCACAUUGGGACUGAGACACAGCCCAAACUCCUACGGGAGGCAGCAGUGGGGAAUAUUGGACAAUGGGCGCAAGCCUGAUCCAGCCAUGCCGCGUGAGUGAUGAAGGCCCUAGGGUUGUAAAGCUCUUUUGUGCGGGAAGAUAAUGACGGACCGCAAGAAU